This 89-nucleotide unclassified non-coding RNA is filed under the name Pseudomonas sp. A214. The record is from RNAcentral. Lineage: Bacteria; Pseudomonadati; Pseudomonadota; Gammaproteobacteria; Pseudomonadales; Pseudomonadaceae.
UGUGGGAGCGAGCCUGCUCGCGAUGGCGUCGUGUCAGCAGUCUUCAAACUGACUGACACCCCCUCAUCGCGAGCAGGCUCGCUCCCACA